RNAcentral lists this ribosomal RNA (468 nucleotides) under uncultured bacterium. RNAcentral describes it as "partial 16S ribosomal RNA". It matches the Rfam family "Bacterial small subunit ribosomal RNA", at positions 28 to 507 of the family's 1533-position model. The record is from RNAcentral.
GACGAACGCUGGCGGCGUGCUUAACACAUGCAAGUCGAACGGAAAGGCCCUGCUUUUGUGGGGUGCUCGAGUGGCGAACGGGUGAGUAACACGUGAGUAACCUGCCCUUGACUUUGGGAUAACUUCAGGAAACUGGGGCUAAUACCGGAUAGGAGCUCCUGCUGCAUGGUGGGGGUUGGAAAGUUUCGGCGGUUGGGGAUGGACUCGCGGCUUAUCAGCUUGUUGGUGGGGUAGUGGCUUACCAAGGCUUUGACGGGUAGCCGGCCUGAGAGGGUGACCGGCCUCAUUGGUACUGAGAUACGGCCCAGACUCCUACCGUAGGCAGCAGUGGGGAAUAUUGCACAAUGGGCGGAAGCCUGAUGCAGCAACGCCGCGUGCGGGAUGACGGCCUUCGGGUUGUAAACCGCUUUCGCCUGUGACGAAGCGUGAGUGACGGUAAUGGGUAAAGAAGCACCGGCUAACUACGUG